Molecule: ribosomal RNA, 497 nt
Filed under: uncultured bacterium
Lineage: Bacteria
Description: partial 16S ribosomal RNA
Rfam family: Bacterial small subunit ribosomal RNA
Source: RNAcentral
GAUGAACGCUGGCGGCGUGCCUAAUACAUGCAAGUCGAGCGAACAGACGAGGAGCUUGCUCCUCUGACGUUAGCGGCGGACGGGUGAGUAACACGUGGAUAACCUACCUAUAAGACUGGGAUAACUUCGGGAAACCGGAGCUAAUACCGGAUAAUAUAUUGAACCGCAUGGUUCAAUAGUGAAAGACGGUUUUGCUGUCACUUAUAGAUGGAUCCGCGCCGCAUUAGCUAGUUGGUAAGGUAACGGCUUACCAAGGCGACGAUGCGUAGCCGACCUGAGAGGGUGAUCGGCCACACGGGAACUGAGACACGGUCCAGACGCCUACGGGAGGCAGCAGUAGGGAAUCUUCCGCAAUGGGCGAAAGCAUGACGGAGCAACGCCGCGUGAGUGAUGAAGGUCUUCGGAUCGUAAAACUCUGUUAUUAGGGAAGAACAAAUGUGUAAGUAACUAUGCACGUAUUGACGGUACCUAAUCAGAAAGCCACGGCUAACUACGUG